Molecule: ribosomal RNA, 354 nt
Filed under: Triticum aestivum (bread wheat)
Lineage: Eukaryota; Viridiplantae; Streptophyta; Magnoliopsida; Poales; Poaceae
Description: partial small subunit ribosomal RNA
Source: RNAcentral
AUGGCGCCCUUCCAAUUAGGAUUCUAUAUUGUCAUUAAUCUUUGCCAAGAUGGCUCUCCCCUUCGGAUCACCAACGUGUAUGCCCCCUGCGUCCACGGUGCCAAAGAAACCUUUCUUGCCGAGCUGGCCGGCCACGCCCCCCCUUCCCCCGUCCCUUGGGCUAUCUUAGGAGACUUUAAUCUCAUUAGGUCGCCUGAUGACCGUAGCAACGAUAACUUCUCCCGCUCUGAGGCCAAAUGGUUCAAUGACUUCAUUAACGAUCUCGCGCUCAUCGACCUUCCUCUCCGGGACCGUCGGUUCACGUGGUCUAGCCGUCAAACCUCCCCGACUCUUGCUCGCCUCGACCGGGUUCUC